This is a non-coding RNA of Danio rerio (zebrafish), 927 nucleotides long. The record is from RefSeq and is a predicted model, not a curated record. Lineage: Eukaryota; Metazoa; Chordata; Actinopteri; Cypriniformes; Danionidae.
GAAGUGUAUGCUUUAUGUUUGUGUUCACGUUUGUGUCUGUGUGUGUAUGUGGUGUUCGUGUGUGUGUGUGUGUAUUUUAGAUUGUCUGCAGCAGAAGGCUCUUGAAGCGCGAAUGGACAGUGUGGAGAAGCGUGUGGAUCAGGCUGUGGAUCUGCUGGAGUCUGAAGUGGCUCUUCUUCUGCAGACUCUGGACCAGAGCCCCCUGCUGGACACUCCUGAAGCUUACAUCCUGGAGGAGCCGCCCGCCACACACACCUGACCACAGGAGUUUCUGCAUGUGCAAUAGCAGCACAGAACAGAUGAUUUUCUUCUGGCCUCCUCAAAAGUCUGAACAGGUUUUAUUUAGUCAUUUUCUUCACGUUAAAUUGAAUAAUUUACACUGUUUAAAUGAAAAUGAACUGCAUUGUUUUCUAUUUUUACUUCGUUCUGGUGAGACUUUUAUCUUGUGAUGUUGACGAUGGUCACAUGAUCAGUCACUGUAUGAAUAUGAAUGCAUGAAUAUGACCAAUAACAGAGUGUUAAGAUGGUCAUGUGACUCUUUCUGGAUUCUCAGUGCUUAUUAUUCAGUAAAUGUGUCUUCUGUCCCAGCAUGCAUUGCACUGAGGGAGGGACUUUUAUCUGCUCUGUGUGUGUUCAUGUUCUGCAUCUCGUUGGAGUUUUGGUCAGGAAAUGACUUGAUUCUUUCAUAACUGUCUGAAAUAUUCUGCCGCUGAACGCUCAUCUUAAUAUCCUUCUCCUCCACAUUUAACAACGGCUGUUUCGAGGACUUUUAUCUUGUUGUUCUGAUGUUUAUAUUGACUUUACGUGUGAAAUCCUGAACCACAAUCAUUCCUGUGAGGACGGAGAGAUCAGAGAGGGAUUAAUAUCUGUGCUGCAGCAGCUCUCAGCAGAUUUACCACUAAUAAAACCAGCAGGUCCAUUCAGCUA